Pogona vitticeps (central bearded dragon) is the source of this 1422-nucleotide non-coding RNA. The record is from RefSeq and is a predicted model, not a curated record. NCBI's taxonomy places the organism in Eukaryota, Metazoa, Chordata, Lepidosauria, Squamata, Agamidae.
UCCCUACGGACAGCAUGAAAAAGAAGAUUUUCAAUGGGAAGAUGGCCGGUGCCUCUUUCCUUGCCUGGAAAAAAGUGGAUAAAAAGGAGCUGCGCCAGGUUGGCCCGCGAAAUGUCGGGGCACGUAGGCAUAGACACAUUUUUCAAUUCCGAGUCAAAACAUCCGAAACUGCUGCCACUCCGAUUCUAGAUUCAGAAGGAACAAAACCGGUCUCCCCACUUUUUUAAAGGCUUAAGUCAGGCUGGCUUAAACAUGUUUAAAACCCAGGAACACUUCUAGGAAUAAACCCCGCUGAACACAGUGGGGUUUAAUUCUAAGACAAUCGUGCUGUUCGCUGACUGAUAGCCCUUAAUUUCCUCUCCCACGAAUCCCACCGGGGAGGAGUUCGAGACCGAGGGACGUGGAUGCCUCUUACCAGCCGCCCUGCUUGAGUUACAGAACCGCACGGCUGGUGCAAAUGACUCUGAAUUAAUGAAGGCAACAAAGUUGUGCCGUCGUGGACGUCGUCGUGACGGCACGCAGUGAACGAGAUAAUGGAAAGACCUAGGUGCCGAGUGCAGUGGGCUAGUUCAACCGGGCCACAGACACAUUUCUGCGGGAUUGAGCAGCAUCCCACCAGAUAUGAGGGGCUGGGUGCAAAUGUAGGAUCUCCGAACACAGGUCUACUCAGAGAGUACCUCCUGUACACAUGGCCACAGAUGAAACCAAAAACCAUCAACAUGGUAUGGAGAAGAUGCUCUUCAGCUAUAUUGAGGGUGUCCCACAAUGCUGGCCAGCCCAUGUCUGCUUUCAUCUGGUCCUCAAGUCAAGGCCAUCUUCUGAAUUCUGUUCAAAUGCUAGGAUAGCCUGACAUUACCAGACAUUGUGGAAGAUUGUUGAGUGUCUCUGGCAUACAACUUGAUAAUCUCUGUGUUGAAGAAAAUAGUUCUGGAACAAUGGAUAAUAAUAGUAAAGGAUCUUACUGCACCUAAAGGAACCAACAUUCAGAGAGCUGUUGCCUUUUCUCCUUAAAAAGAGACACGACCAUCAUUUUUAGUAGCUGUUGGUUGACUUAUUGGAGAUGGCAUAGAAAGACAAUUAAGAGAUUACUGGACUUCAAAACAUUUGAACGGUCAAAGUUUCUCCAUUGCUGCCUUUUGGCAAGAAUGGGCAGAAGGUGGCUACAAACAUAACUGACUGGCCAUGUAUGGAAUAAUAUUCUGAGGCAACAGUCCUACAACAAUAUAACUUGGAAUAAACUCAGCUGAACUCAAUGGGAAAUACUUCUAAAGAAAUGGGUAUAGCUGCGAAACAAAGAUAGGCUGGGCAGGCAAAGGGGCCAAUGAUGUGUGUAUUAAAAGACUGUGAGUGCAGUGCUGGAAAAGAAAAGAAGACAGCAUCAAACUGAAGAGGAAAAAAAGCCAGCCACAAAUAACGUAUUUC